RNAcentral lists this long non-coding RNA (204 nucleotides) under Mytilus galloprovincialis (Mediterranean mussel). The record is from RNAcentral. Lineage: Eukaryota; Metazoa; Mollusca; Bivalvia; Mytilida; Mytilidae.
AUUUCAUAUAUAUAUGUUAGCGGCAAUAAGUAAAAUUAGGCAUUAAGCUUAAAUCCUAGGCAAUAAGCUAACGCCUAGGCAUUAAGUUAUUGCCUGAAAUUUUCAGGCAUUAAGCUUAUUGCCUGAAAUCUGAUGAUGAUUAUUCAUCCUAUUGCCGAAGAUAAUUUUAGGCAAUAAGUAAACUCUGGAAUUUAUGCAUAUUGG